CCAUCCACGAGAAGAGUCUGGCAUAAAAGAGCAUAUGCUGUUUGGGGAACUCCGAGGAGCUUUCGUGUUCUCUGGCAAGAGAUUCAGGAGGUGUGUGGGCAGGGAACAGAUGACAAAUGGCCUUAUGUGCCAUGUGGAAGACUUUGGACUUUAUAUCUUGAAAACAGUGAUGAAUCUGUUAAGGGUUUUAAGAAAGGCAGUGACAUGAUUUUAUUUGCCUUACAAAAGUGACUUUGGUGGCAAUAAAAGGAUGGGAUUUUUUAAAGAAUGAAGAAAAGAAGACUCAGAUGAGCAGCAGUUUUAAGUCUGGGUUAUAAAAUUAUAUUACUCACACCCAAAAUAAAUAGAGCUAUAAUGAACACAGAGAGAAAGGCGAAGAAGAGGAGGGGAGAGAUGUCAGAGGUCAUUUGGAGGUAGUAGCCACAAAACGUGGUGAGCAGCAGGAGGAAGUGGGUGAGCCGAGUGGCUUGGUGUGUCUGAGGAGAGCAAUGUCACUAUUCAGAGAACGGACCACAGGCAAGAGUGGGGUUGCUUGUUUUCUCUGUUGGUUUUGAUAUGUGGGAGACAUUCAACAGAGAUGAACUCAUGGGAGUCUCAAAUACAGGUCUGCCCUUGAUUAAAAUGUAUGAAAUGUGGAGAUAUGGAUUCAGAAAUAAUCAUCGUAUAAAUAAAUGGGAGAGCAUGGGUGAGUGGGCCUGAGGAGAAUACAUUAAAAGAGGAGAAAAAAGAUUGAAUACACUCAACAAUAUUUAAAGAGUGAGUAGAGGAAAAGGAAGUUAUGAAGGAAACUGAGAAAGGCGAGCUGAGAGGUAAGUAAACCAAGAAGAAAGAAAGUGAUAACACAGAAACGACACGGGGCGGGGAUUAGAAGGAGGUGUGAUUCUAUCGACUACAUCAAGCACCACAACAAAAUCAACCAAUGUAAAGACCCCGUGUUCUUAGGAUUUGCCAAUCUGGUCAUCUUUCAGAACUUGUUUCAAAGAAGUUCCCAGGCCAGAAUUCAGAUCUGUGUGCUGAGAAUAGAACGGGAGGUGGGGAAUUGCAGAAGUGGCAUGCAGGUCACGUGGAUGAGAAAGGGAAUCCAAGCAGGGCCCACCCAAAGGCAAGGUAUGAUGCACCUGGGCCUGCUUUAUGGAGAAAGAAACGAGACCAGAGCACGUUAACCUGCUAAAGCAAAGGAGAAAAAGGAAUUUCCCAGCUUAACAGACAAGGAGGAGAAUCAUGUGAACAUGUAAUAAACCUGUAAUAAAACUAAAAGUGCAACUAAAAAUAUUGUGUUAAGCAUGGUGGACAAAUAUCAGUUUAAACAGUAUUUCCAUUCUAACCUGUUUCCACAAUACAUCUUCCAACUCUUUCUCCAAUUCCCAUAUCAUUUCUUAAGUCUCAGCAAGAUAAUUUUCUUUUCCUUUCUAUGUGUCUGUCUCCUUUUCUAUAAAAACACAUUUGGCAUUGCUAUUUCACCUUGACUGGUUUUGCCAUCCACAACCAGUCUGCAUUCCUGCCCUCCACCUAGGUCAAUUUUCUCAACUUUUAGGCAGUAUUGUCUACACAACUU
Equus caballus (horse) is the source of this 1555-nucleotide long non-coding RNA. NCBI's taxonomy places the organism in Eukaryota, Metazoa, Chordata, Mammalia, Perissodactyla, Equidae. The record is from Ensembl.